ACAGCAGUAGCCGCGGUAAUACGUAGGGUGCGAGCGUUAAUCGGAAUUACUGGGCGUAAAGCGUGCGCAGGCGGUUAUAUAAGACAGAUGUGAAAUCCCCGGGCUCAACCUGGGACCUGCAUUUGUGACUGUAUAGCUAGAGUACGGUAGAGGGGGAUGGAAUUCCGCGUGUAGCAGUGAAAUGCGUAGAUAUGCGGAGGAACACCGAUGGCGAAGGCAAUCCCCUGGACCUGUACUGACGCUCAUGCACAAAAGCGUGGGGAGCAAACAGGAUUAGAUACCCGCGUAGUCCCUGUCUCUUAUAC
Molecule: ribosomal RNA, 305 nt
Filed under: uncultured bacterium
Lineage: Bacteria
Description: partial 16S ribosomal RNA
Rfam family: Bacterial small subunit ribosomal RNA
Source: RNAcentral